GUGUCAGCAGCCGCGGUAAGACGGAAGGUGCAAGCGUUGCUCGGAAUCACUGGGCGUAAAGGGUGCGUAGGCGGCCGUGCAAGUCUGGCGUGAAAGCCCCGGGCUCAGCCCGGGAAGUGCGCUCGAAACUGCGCGGCUCGAGUGCCGGAGGGGAGAGUGGAAUUCCUGGUGUAGCGGUGAAAUGCGUAGAUAUCAGGAGGAAUACCGGUGGCGAAAGCGACUCUCUGGACGGCAACUGACGCUGAGGCACGAAAGCGUGGGGAGCAAACAGGAUUAGAUACCCCCGUAGUCC
This 292-nucleotide ribosomal RNA is filed under the name uncultured bacterium. RNAcentral describes it as "partial 16S ribosomal RNA". It matches the Rfam family "Bacterial small subunit ribosomal RNA", at positions 505 to 796 of the family's 1533-position model. The record is from RNAcentral.